The submitters of this non-coding RNA (54 nucleotides) gave its source as unclassified sequences. The record is from Rfam.
AUAUAUGUUCGUAGAGUAGCGAACAGGAUAAUCAAAAAGAAAUGUUCGUUAAGA